This 482-nucleotide ribosomal RNA is filed under the name uncultured bacterium. Its description in RNAcentral is "partial 16S ribosomal RNA". It matches the Rfam family "Bacterial small subunit ribosomal RNA", at positions 29 to 507 of the family's 1533-position model. The record is from RNAcentral.
AUUGAACGCUGGCGGCAUGCCUUACACAUGCAAGUCGAACGGUAACGGGCCUUCGGGUGCCGUCGAGUGGCGAACGGGGGCGUAAUACAAAGGAACGUGCCAGAUCGUGGGGGAAAACGGGGCGCAAGCUGUGCUAAUACCGCAUACGAUAUAAGGAGGAAAGCAGGGGACCGCAAGGCCUUGCGCGGGCGGAGCGGCCGCUGGCAGAUUAGGUAGUUGGUGGGAUAAAAGCUUACCAAGCCGACGAUCUGUAGCUGGGCUGAGAGGAUGAUCAGCCACACUGGGACUGAGACACGGCCCAGACUCCUACGGGAGGCAGCAGUGGGGAAUUUUGGACAAUGGGCGCAAGCCUGAUCCAGCCACGCCGCGUGCAGGAUGAAGGCCUUCGGGUUGUAAACUGCUUUUGUACGGAACGAAAAGCCGUCUUUUAAUACAGGAGGGUCAUGACGGUACCGUAAGAAUAAGCACCGGCUAACUACGUG